UGACUCGGACUCGGCAACGUUGGGUAAGAAAUAAUAGAUCUCACAAUCAUAACCAAACCAAACGGCAACUGGAUCCUAAAUUAAGUUGGAAUGCAACGUAUGAAAGUUUACUUGGGAGCAACAAGCCAUUCUCUCAGCCCAUCCCUCUUUCUGAAAUGGUAGAUUUUCUGGUGGACGUCUGGGAACAGGAUGGCCUAUAUGACUGAGGCAUCAAAGAGUAGGGGAUUGUUGUUUCCUGUUUGGUUAGAGUAGCUAUAGUAAAUUUCACUUUCUUGCUUCUGUAGAAAGAGAAGUUUGGGCAACCUCCACAAAAUUAUAUUUAUACCUGAUUUAAUUGAUGACAGGAGGCAAGUUUUUCUUUCAUA
Long non-coding RNA from Neltuma alba, 365 nucleotides. RefSeq lists it as uncharacterized. Lineage: Eukaryota; Viridiplantae; Streptophyta; Magnoliopsida; Fabales; Fabaceae. The record is from RefSeq and is a predicted model, not a curated record. The transcript is spliced from 3 exons.